AGAGAGUCUCUCAUGUUGGUCAACAAGUUACCGUCUUUGUGAAAAGUUACAGCUGAUCUAUUUACCGGAGUUCGAUAUAAGCGAGGAAAGACUGGAUGAGGAAAAGCCACCAAUUAAGAUUAGAGACUGGUAUGGUACACGUGUUGACGCUGGCAGCCAGUAUCAACUUAGCGUGCGUCUGUUAGCAGACGACAGUUCAACUGAACUAGACGUUUGGAAAUACAACGCCACCAAAAGGCUAGGCGAUGGCUGGACGGAAGUGAAGCAUGUGUUUAAACACUAUCCGUCUGGUGUCCGUUAUAUAGAGUUUAAACAUGGAGGAAAAGAUGUAAGUGUAUGGGCUGGACAUUAUGGUGUCAAAAUGACGAAUUCUGGAGUUUUUAUCGAUGAG
Mercenaria mercenaria is the source of this 391-nucleotide long non-coding RNA. RefSeq lists it as uncharacterized. The transcript has 3 exons. NCBI's taxonomy places the organism in Eukaryota, Metazoa, Mollusca, Bivalvia, Venerida, Veneridae. The record is from RefSeq and is a predicted model, not a curated record.